UCAAGUGAAGAAGCGCAUACGGUGGAUGCCUUGGCAGUCAGAGGCGAUGAAAGACGUGGUAGCCUGCGAAAAGCUUCGGGGAGUCGGCAAACAGACUUUGAUCCGGAGAUCUCUGAAUGGGGGAACCCACCUAGGAUAACCUAGGUAUCUUGUACUGAAUCCAUAGGUGCAAGAGGCGAACCAGGGGAACUGAAACAUCUAAGUACCCUGAGGAAAAGAAAUCAACCGAGAUUCCCUUAGUAGUGGCGAGCGAACGGGGAUUAGCCCUUAAGCUUCAUUGAUUUUAGCGGAACGCUCUGGAAAGUGCGGCCAUAGUGGGUGAUAGCCCCGUACGCGAAAGGAUCUUUGAAGUGAAAUCGAGUAGGACGGAGCACGAGAAACUUUGUCUGAACAUGGGGGGACCAUCCUCCAAGGCUAAAUACUACUGACUGACCGAUAGUGAACCAGUACCGUGAGGGAAAGGCGAAAAGAACCCCGGAGAGGGGAGUGAAAUAGAACCUGAAACCGUAUGCGUACAAGCAGUGGGAGCCUACUUGUUAGGUGACUGCGUACCUUUUGUAUAAUGGGUCAGCGACUUAUAUUCAGUGGCAAGCUUAACCGUAUAGGGUAGGCGUAGCGAAAGCGAGUCUUAAUAGGGCGUUUAGUCGCUGGGUAUAGACCCGAAACCGGGCGAUCUAUCCAUGAGCAGGUUGAAGGUUAGGUAACACUGACUGGAGGACCGAACCCACUCCCGUUGAAAAGGUAGGGGAUGACUUGUGGAUCGGAGUGAAAGGCUAAUCAAGCUCGGAGAUAGCUGGUUCUCCUCGAAAGCUAUUUAGGUAGCGCCUCAUGUAUCACUCUGGGGGGUAGAGCACUGUUUCGGCUAGGGGGUCAUCCCGACUUACCAAACCGAUGCAAACUCCGAAUACCCAGAAGUGCCGAGCAUGGGAGACACACGGCGGGUGCUAACGUCCGUCGUGAAAAGGGAAACAACCCAGACCGCCAGCUAAGGUCCCAAAGUUGUGGUUAAGUGGUAAACGAUGUGGGAAGGCUUAGACAGCUAGGAGGUUGGCUUAGAAGCAGCCAUCCUUUAAAGAAAGCGUAAUAGCUCACUAGUCGAGUCGGCCUGCGCGGAAGAUGUAACGGGGCUCAAACCACACACCGAAGCUGCGGGUGUCACGUAAGUGACGCGGUAGAGGAGCGUUCUGUAAGCCUGUGAAGGUGAGUUGAGAAGCUUGCUGGAGGUAUCAGAAGUGCGAAUGCUGACAUGAGUAACGACAAUGGGUGUGAAAAACACCCACGCCGAAAGACCAAGGGUUCCUGCGCAACGUUAAUCGACGCAGGGUUAGUCGGUUCCUAAGGCGAGGCUGAAAAGCGUAGUCGAUGGGAAACAGGUUAAUAUUCCUGUACUUCUGGUUACUGCGAUGGAGGGACGGAGAAGGCUAGGCCAGCUUGGCGUUGGUUGUCCAAGUUUAAGGUGGUAGGCUGAAAUCUUAGGUAAAUCCGGGGUUUCAAGGCCGAGAGCUGAUGACGAGUCGUCUUUUAGAUGACGAAGUGGUUGAUGCCAUGCUUCCAAGAAAAGCUUCUAAGCUUCAGGUAACCAGGAACCGUACCCCAAACCGACACAGGUGGUCGGGUAGAGAAUACCAAGGCGCUUGAGAGAACUCGGGUGAAGGAACUAGGCAAAAUGGCACCGUAACUUCGGGAGAAGGUGCGCCGGCUAGGGUGAAGGAUUUACUCCGUAAGCUCUGGCUGGUCGAAGAUACCAGGCCGCUGCGACUGUUUAUUAAAAACACAGCACUCUGCAAACACGAAAGUGGACGUAUAGGGUGUGACGCCUGCCCGGUGCCGGAAGGUUAAUUGAUGGGGUUAGCGCAAGCGAAGCUCUUGAUCGAAGCCCCGGUAAACGGCGGCCGUAACUAUAACGGUCCUAAGGUAGCGAAAUUCCUUGUCGGGUAAGUUCCGACCUGCACGAAUGGCGUAACGAUGGCGGCGCUGUCUCCACCCGAGACUCAGUGAAAUUGAAAUCGCUGUGAAGAUGCAGUGUAUCCGCGGCUAGACGGAAAGACCCCGUGAACCUUUACUGUAGCUUUGCACUGGACUUUGAGCCUGCUUGUGUAGGAUAGGUGGGAGGCUUUGAAGCGUGGACGCCAGUUCGCGUGGAGCCAUCCUUGAAAUACCACCCUGGCAUGCUUGAGGUUCUAACUCUGGUCCGU
This 2195-nucleotide ribosomal RNA is filed under the name Pseudomonas aeruginosa. Its description in RNAcentral is "bacterial LSU rRNA". It matches the Rfam family "Bacterial large subunit ribosomal RNA", at positions 3 to 2236 of the family's 2925-position model. RNAcentral also lists the same sequence under 1 other name. Lineage: Bacteria; Pseudomonadati; Pseudomonadota; Gammaproteobacteria; Pseudomonadales; Pseudomonadaceae. The record is from RNAcentral.